RNAcentral lists this ribosomal RNA (253 nucleotides) under uncultured bacterium. RNAcentral describes it as "partial 16S ribosomal RNA". It matches the Rfam family "Bacterial small subunit ribosomal RNA", at positions 524 to 776 of the family's 1533-position model. The record is from RNAcentral.
UACGAAGGGGGCUAGCGUUGCUCGGAAUCACUGGGCGUAAAGGGCGCGUAGGCGGCCAUUCAAGUCAGAGGUGAAAGCCCAAGGCUCAACCUUGGAACUGCCUUUGAUACUGUUUGGCUUGAGACCGGUAGAGGUGAGUGGAACUGCGAGUGUAGAGGUGAAAUUCGUAGAUAUUCGCAAGAACACCAGUGGCGAAGGCGGCUCACUGGUCCGGUACUGACGCUGAGGUGCGAAAGCGUGGGGAGCAAACAGG